GCCGGAGUAGCUCAGCUGGCAGAGCACUCGCCUUGUAAGCGAGCGGUCGAGGGUUCGAGCCCCUCCUCCGGCU
RNAcentral lists this transfer RNA (73 nucleotides) under Actinomycetota bacterium. RNAcentral describes it as "Actinobacteria bacterium (freshwater metagenome) tRNA-Thr". It matches the Rfam family "tRNA". From Rfam's summary of the family: Transfer RNA (tRNA) molecules are approximately 80 nucleotides in length. The record is from RNAcentral. Lineage: Bacteria; Bacillati; Actinomycetota.